GUGGGGAAUCUUAGACAAUGGGGGCAACCCUGAUCUAGCCAUGCCGCGUGAGUGAUGAAGGCCUUAGGGUCGUAAAGCUCUUUCGCUGGGGAAGAUAAUGACGGUACCCAGUAAAGAAACCCCGGCUAACUCCGUGCCAGCAGCCGCGGUAAUACGGAGGGGGUUAGCGUUGUUCGGAAUUACUGGGCGUAAAGCGCGCGUAGGCGGAUUGGAAAGUUGGGGGUGAAAUCCCGGGGCUCAACCCUGGAAUGGCCUUCAAAACUCCCAGUCUUGAGGUCGAGAGAGGUGAGUGGAAUUCCGAGUGUAGAGGUGAAAUUCGUAGAUAUUCGGAGGAACACCAGUGGCGAAGGCGGCUCUCUGGCCCUGAUCUGACGCUAAGGCGCGAAAGCGUGGGGAGCAAACAGGAUUAGAUACCCCAGUAGUCC
This 425-nucleotide ribosomal RNA is filed under the name uncultured bacterium. RNAcentral describes it as "partial 16S ribosomal RNA". It matches the Rfam family "Bacterial small subunit ribosomal RNA", at positions 354 to 796 of the family's 1533-position model. The record is from RNAcentral.